RNAcentral lists this ribosomal RNA (408 nucleotides) under uncultured bacterium. RNAcentral describes it as "partial 16S ribosomal RNA". It matches the Rfam family "Bacterial small subunit ribosomal RNA", at positions 29 to 526 of the family's 1533-position model. The record is from RNAcentral.
AGUGAACGCUGGCGGCGUGCCUAAUACAUGCAAGUCGAACGGCGUGUCGCACGGGUGUGUAAUAUAUAUCUAAUCUGCCCCUUUCUGGGGGACAACCGUUAGAAAUGACUGCUUAUACUCCAUAGCACGGGUUGAGACUAUAUCGGAUCAGCGAGUCGGUGUGGUAACGGCCUACCGAGGCGCUGACGCGUAACUGGUCUGAGAGGAUGAUCAGGCACAUUGGAAGGGAGACAGGGUUAGAACUCCUACGGGAAGGAGCAGAAGGGAGUAAGGCGAAAGGGGGGAAACGCUGACGCGGCAACGGCGCGUGGAGGAUGACACUUUUCGAAGAGUAAACGCCUUUUGUUAGGGAAGCGGUACCUAACGAAUAAGCAACGGCUAACUACGUGCCAGCAGCCGCGGUAAUAC